ACUAAAGUAGUCUACUUAAGACCUCUGAUUUCGACUCAGAAGACCUUUACAUUAAAGCUUUAGA
RNAcentral lists this transfer RNA (64 nucleotides) under Anilios australis (Southern blind snake). RNAcentral's name for it is "transfer RNA-Arg". Lineage: Eukaryota; Metazoa; Chordata; Lepidosauria; Squamata; Typhlopidae. The record is from RNAcentral.